This 433-nucleotide ribosomal RNA is filed under the name uncultured bacterium. RNAcentral's name for it is "partial 16S ribosomal RNA". It matches the Rfam family "Bacterial small subunit ribosomal RNA", at positions 29 to 507 of the family's 1533-position model. The record is from RNAcentral.
AACGAACGCUGGCGGCAUGCCUAACACAUGCAAGUCGAACGAGACCUUCGGGUCUAGUUGCGCACGGGUGCGUAACGCGUGGGAACCUGCCCUUAGGUUCGUAAUAUCUCCCCGACUUGGGUGCUAAUACCGGAUAAUGUCUUCGGACCAAAGAUUUCUCGCCUUUGGAUGGGCCCGCGUUGGAUUAGCUAGUUGUUAGGGUAAAAGCCUACCAAGGCGAGGAUCCAUAGCUGGUCUGAGAGGAUGAGCAGCAACACUGGGACUGAGACACGGCCCAGACGCCGACGGGAGGCAGCAGUGGGGAAUAUUGGACAACGGGGGAAAGGCGGAAGCAGCAAAGCCGCGUGAGUGAUGAAGGCCUUAGGGUUGUAAAGAUCUUUUAACCGGGAUGAUAAUGACAGUACCGGGAGAAUAAGCGCCGGCUAACUCCGUG